GGACUUGUAGCUCAGUUGGUAGAGCAGCUGACUCUUAAUCAGUAGGUCGGCGGUUCGAAUCCGCCCAAGUCCACCA
RNAcentral lists this transfer RNA (76 nucleotides) under Pseudomonadota bacterium. Its description in RNAcentral is "Proteobacteria bacterium (mine drainage metagenome) tRNA-Lys". It matches the Rfam family "tRNA". From Rfam's summary of the family: Transfer RNA (tRNA) molecules are approximately 80 nucleotides in length. Lineage: Bacteria; Pseudomonadati; Pseudomonadota. The record is from RNAcentral.